GUGUUUAUUUUCUACAUGGUGUUAAUGCUGUGAGGUCAUCAACGGGAGCCAUGCUUUUACUCCUCGGUUUGCUCAGAGCCUGAUGAGUAGAGGUAUGUGUUAUGUACGCUCCACUCUUUUUAAUGCACAUGUAAGCAAAUGUCCAAAAAAAGACAACCGAAAAUUAUAUCGUCAUUGAUUUAGUGUUGCGCUACAGUUUUUAGGAAUAUAUAUUAGUGUGAAUGGGGAUAAUGUUUGACUGCAACUUUGCAAGGUUUGCCCAGCCACCGUUACCUUUGCGGGUCUCUCAGGUGCAGACAGCGUGAGUUUUCUGACAGGAAUUCAGCACUCUUUUGUCUUUUAUCAGGCUAAUAUAGUUGUGUAUGGCAGUCCAGACGGCAGCAUCAAGCUUGGCUUUGUAUUUGUAUCCAUUCCAUGCAGUCACUAAAAGAGAGAGAACCGGCAGAAUUGUGUCCAGAGACUUGUCUUCCAACUACACCUCACCAGAACACAACGCAGAAAGGCCUCAGGAGAGCUUCCGUCUUCAGGGGCGGUGGGACUGGAUGGCCCAGACCUGGGUGCGUCAGCAGGUUCCCCUGACAGAGGUGCCGUUGAGCUGGAAGACGGGGGCGCUCAUAGGAGUGACAUGAGGGAUGUGCUGCAGGUGGCCACUGUAGGAGAGCAGGGGCUUCCUGUUCUUUCCCUCCACUGCUGCCUGCGCACGGUCCUCGUUCCACCUCAUCAGUCCAUCCAACAGGAAUGCCUGGAAAUGCAUUGCAAUUGCUCUGGUACCUGAGAGAACAAUGCACGAUUAGGGUGGGAGAGCUGUUGCUGUUAACGUUAAGCAAACCUCUUAAAGCUACCCCUCCACUUUUUCCAAUUUCUGCCUGAAGACAUACCCAAAUCUAACUGCCUGUAGCUCUGGCCCAGAAGCAAGGACAUGCAUAUUCUUGGUACCAUUUGAAAGGAAACACUCUGAAUUUUGUGUAAAUGUGAAUUGAAUGUAGGAGAAUUGAACACCGUAGAUCUGGUAGAAGAAAAUUCAAGGAAAUAAACAUUUGUUUUCUGUUUUUAUUGUUUCUGCAUCAUCUUUCAACUGAACAAGAACAUCCAAACAUACAGAUAGGAUGCCGG
This is a long non-coding RNA of Oncorhynchus tshawytscha (Chinook salmon), 1113 nucleotides long. The record is from Ensembl. Lineage: Eukaryota; Metazoa; Chordata; Actinopteri; Salmoniformes; Salmonidae.